This 703-nucleotide ribosomal RNA is filed under the name uncultured organism. RNAcentral's name for it is "bacterial SSU rRNA". It matches the Rfam family "Bacterial small subunit ribosomal RNA", at positions 166 to 889 of the family's 1533-position model. The record is from RNAcentral.
AUACCCGAUGGUCUCGAUAAUUCGGUUUAUCGAGUAAAGGCUCCGGCGCUUUGAGAGGGACCUGCGGCCCAUCAGCUAGUUGGUAGGGUAAUGGCCUACCAAGGCAAAGACGGGUAGGGGGCGUGAGAGCGUGACCCCCCACACUGGCACUGGGACACGGGCCAGACUCCUACGGGAGGCAGCAGUGAGGAAUAUUGCGCAAUGAGCGAAAGCUAGACGCAGCAACGCCGCGUGGGUGAUGAAGGCCUUCGGGUCGUAAAACCCUUUUCUGGGGGAAGAGUAAGGACGGUACCCCAGGAAUAAGCCUCGGCUAACUAUGUGCCAGCAGCCGCGGUAAUACAUAGGAGGCAAGCGUUAUCCGGAUUUACUGGGCGUAAAGAGCGUUGAGGCGGCUUCGUAAGUUGGACGUGAAAGCUCCCGGCUUAACUGGGAGAGGCCGUUCAAUACUGCGGGGCUUGAGGACAGCAGAGGGGGGUGGAAUUUCCGGUGUAGUGGUGAAAUGCGUAGAUAUCGGAAGAAACACCAGUGGCGAAGGCGGCCCCCUGGGCUGCUCCUGACGCUGAAGGCGAAAGCUAGGGUAGCGAACGGGAUUAGAAACCCCGGUAGUCCUAGCCGUAAACGAUGGAUACUAGGUGUAGGAGGUUAAAAUUCCUUCUGUGCCGGAGCUAACGCGUUAAGUAUCCCGCCUGGGGAGUACGGUCGC